UCCGGGUACUCCGGUUUCCUCCCACAUUCCAAAAACAUGCUAGGUUAAUUAGCGACUCCAAAUUGUCCAUAGGUAUGAAUGUGAGUGUGUAUGGUUGUUUGUCUAUAUGUGGCAACCAGUCCAGGGACAGCUGGGAUAGGCUCCAGCACCCUUGCGACCCUCGUGAGGAAAAAGCGGUAGAAAAUGAAUGAAUGAAUAAAUCCAAAUAAGCACUUGUAUUCCAAUAUCCACUUCUAUAACGUUGAUUCUUACUUCAUGUUAUUCCAAGGUGACCCCUAAAGGCUGCAUGUAUUUCAGCAAUGUGGAGCUAAUGGACUUAGUACAGGACUCAGUAAACCUAAAUCAUUUCACAGUGAAGCACCGAGGGAAGGGAAGGGAAGGGAAGGAUUGUGGUGGAUUAUAGUUAAUGAUGCCUAACUGCCGGACUCUUGUUAUUGUCUGUAGGUUUUCAAGAACACUUGAGUUGCUCGCUGCCAUGAAGAAGAAAUCUGUUUGAUCAUAAAUGCUGCAUUUUGUCUGAUAUAGAAAAAUUCAAUAGGAAUAUAAUGGCUCUCCAUUGCAAGGAUUUUUGAUCUAUUAUGGGAUUGUGUGACCUUGCAAUUGAACGUUGUGUUUUACAGUAUUCAUGAUGGUAUUGGUAAUGAUGGACAGUAUCGGUAUAUCGGUAAGAAAGCCAGUAUGGAUCAUAUCUAUCCAUGACCUUCUUCCAUGCACUGAGGUGUUCGAGGUUGGAUGACAUCGUCAACCAUCAGCACUUUUCUCUCUUUUUUUUUUUCUUCCAGAAAGUCAACUUUUUUUUCUUUUCAAGGUGCUGACAAAGAGUCAGACUGCUGCUGAAAAUCUCCCCCCCUUCUGCACCACUGACCCAAAUGAAAGCAGAGUGUCCAUUUCGGACCAGCGCUAUGAUUUCCUCUGCCAAUUCCACGACGCAGCCAGGUGUGGGGUCUGGCCGUUUACCUCUAUUUCCACACUUGACAUGUCCUCACAGUCGUUUUGCUCUGUUGUUGAUAUGUCCUUCCUGUGUGUGAUGCAUGAUUGCUGCACCACUCAAACCACUUUUUUUUUUUUUUUUUGCUGAAAGAAAAAGGUGAAGCAUUUGAGCCUUCAAUCAAAAACAGUCAGUCUCCUCCCGCAGGGCUGCAUGGACGACACGUAUUGGCGAUUUACUAUUGUGUUCCACUUCUACCUGACAAUUCUUAUACUUAUUCUCCAAAUAUUCCAAAAACAUGCUAGGUUAAUUAGCGACUCCAAAUUGUCCAUAGGUAUGAAUGUGAGUGUGAAUGGUUGUUUGUCUAUAUGUGCCCUGUGAUUGGCUGGCCACCAGUCCAGCAUGUACCCCGCCUCUCGCCCGAAGACAGCUGGGAUAGGCUCCAGCACCCCCGCGAUCCUUGUGAGGAAAAAGCGGUAGAAAAUGAAUGAAUGAAUGAAUGAAAUUCUCAAGUACGGUACUCAUCAACUUGUUAUGUUGCAGCACAAAUUCCGUCGUUCCUUAACGUCGUCAACAUCGCCGGCCUCCGAAAAGGGUGCCCAUGCGGGUCAAGACUUGGGUAAAGACUUCCUGUCAUACAUGGUCGCCUGUGAUGCCAUCUUCCACAUGACACGUAAGUCAAAAGCGGUGAUUUAUUUCCCUCUGCAGUGUUACAAACCAUUGUAAAAAAAAGCCUCAUGAUGCUUUGCUACUAGAGCAAACCCUUUUUUUUUUUUACCAAUUCCGAUGUAGGGCGGCACGGCGGUCUAGUGGUUAGUGCGCAGACCUCACAGCUAGGAGACCAGGGUUUAAUUCCACCCUCAGCCAGCUGGGAUAGCUCCAGCACUCCCCGCGACCCUCGUGAGGAAAAGUGGUAGAAAAUGAAUGAAUGAAUAAUUAUACCUUUGAACACCAUUAGAGCCCUCUAGACCUGAAAUAACACCCCUAUAGUCACAUUUGCAAUCCUAUCACCCAAUAUAAUAGUAAUAAGAGAAAAUAAGACAUAACUAGGCGGUCGAGUGGUUAGCACGCAGACCUCACAGCUAGGAGACCAGGGUUCAAUUCCACCCUCGGCCAUCUCUGUGUGCGUGGGUUUUCUCCGGGUACUCCGGUUUUCCUCCCACAUUCCAAAAACAUGCUAGGUUAAUUAGCGACUCCAAAUUGUCCAUAGGUAUGAAUGUGAGUGUGAAUGGUUGUUUGUCUAUAUGUGCCCUGUGAUUGGCUGGCGACCAGUCCAGGGUGUACCCCGCCUCUCGCCCAAAGACAGCUGGGAUAGGCUCCAGCACCCCCGCGACCCUUGUGAGGAAAAAGCGGUAGAAAAUGAAUGAAUGAAUGAAUUCCGAUGUAGGCAGCAGCUGUUCCCACUAUCUAAUGUCAUGUGAAAAGAGAAAAUGCAACAAUCUCAUUAUAUAUUUGACACACCCCUCUGCUACGGAACAACACUUCCCAUCAAAAAGGUUCGCACAAUAACCUUGGCACGCUACCAGUGUUGAUUCCUGGUAUCCUCAGGUAACACGAUGAAAGACCGGUUUAGACAAAAUUUCCCUCCUCCAUUUGGAAACCACAGAAGUAGCUUGUGCUUUUGGGACAGUUCAAAUCGAGACUAGUUCGUUGUAGAGACGCUAGUCUGGUUGCAAGGCACCAACUGCGGCCCCCCUCUUCCAGACUGACCCCUCGUUCUUUGUGGCGUACUGCUGGUUUUGCCAUCAUUAAGUCAUCAUUCUUUUUGAAAUAGCCUUCAAAUACACAUCAUUCAGUGAGGAAAGGGUCAGGAUUUGGGUUCGGAUUGGAUUCGGUUUGGGGUUGGGUUUAGCAUCGGGAUCAUUGUUAGGGUUAGGAUUCAAUUGAGGCUUGAAUUCAAUUGAGAAUUGAGGCUUGGAUUGGGUUUGGGGUUAGAAUUGGUUUGGGGUUUUGGGUCAGGAUUGAGGUUGGGGUCAGGGGUUGGAUGGGGGACUAGGUUUUGGAUUGAAUAAAUUGAGGAGGACCCUGUGCAUGUAUUAAAAUCAGGGGUGCUCCGAUCAAUCGGACACCGAUCGGUAUCGGUGGAUGUCAGUAAAAAACACCGAUCCCCGCCGCCGUUCAGCUCCGCCCCCCGUUGCAUCAUCCAGAAAAAAGCAUGUGGGACUUCCUGUCUACGUGAGAGUGAUUAAAACUUUGAUAUGAAUUUCACACCCUUCAAAACGUGCCUCAAAGAUGUCUGAGCGGCUUUGAAAAGCUUUACAUUGGUGCGGCAUUUAAAGCCAACACUUGGCAGGGUGUGGUGAGUUUGAGGCUCGCAAUGUGUGGGAGCAUGCAGACACCAUGUAGUACUUUUUUAGUGCAGAGGAACUUUCAAUGUGGGCGGAGCUCCGGAUCACAUGUGACGCAGUUGCUCAGUUCGGCUGUCCAAUGAAGUCGCACAGCUCACUUGGACCGUGACGAGUGAGCGUUCGCACGGAUUUCCGCAGUGGUGCCAAGCUGAUGGACGAGUGCCGGGAUUCUGUCUCCUCUGAGACAGCAGAGGUGGACAAACCUGCUUUUCAUUCAGGUUUUCAGUUCAUAAUGUGAGACGAUGAGAAAUACAUGUUAAAUACAAAAUAUUAGUUGUGAAAAUGCUAAAAUGUUACCAAAGUGAGUAUGAGUCAUUUUGCAAAAGUAGCUCUCAAGAAAAAACCUUGGUGAUCCUAAUAUAGCCAGCAGCCGUAGUACAGGAAUCAAACCCCCUGAAUGCAGCACUACACUGCCGAAUGCCGAAGAUGUCACUUCCAUGCUAACAUUGGAGACUUUGGAAGCACAGCUGUUUCCAUGUGACAAUGAGCCGGCAAUUAUUCCCGAGUCUUUUAAAUUUAAUAGAGCAAACCUGCGUUUGUGCAUUUCAGAGAAAUAACUGAUCUGUUCAUUUUAUGAACGUUAACUUCGUUUAUGGUGCUCAGAUAGCGUUGCAAAAAAAAGAGAAAAACUCUCCCAUGUUGUGCCUGAUUUAAAAAGGGUUAAAGAGUGGCGGACGAGUGGUUAGCGCAUAGGCCUAACAGCAAGGAGAUCCGAGUUUGAUUCCACCCUCGGCCCCCGUGCAUGCGUGGGUUUUCUCCGGGUACUCCGGCUUCCUACCACAUUCCAAAAACAUGCUAGGUUAAUUGGCGACUCCAAAUUGUCCAUAGGUAUGAAUGUGAGUGUGAAUGGUUGUUUGUCUAUAUGUGCCCUGUGAUUGGCUGGCCAUCGGUCCAGGGUGACCCUUGUGAGGACACUACAAAGUUCCUCUUUUGAUCAGGACAGUUAGACUCAUUGUUUGCUUAGACCAGGGGUGGGCAAACUACGGCCCGGGGGCCACAUGCGGCCCACCAAGCGUUUGAAUCCGGCCCGCCAGUUGCUUUCUAAGUAACUUCAACUUUUAACAUACAAACUGGCAACAUGACUUGCAAGUCGGAUGUCUGAUUUAAUAAAAAAAUAAACAACAAAACUGUAAAAUUAAAUGACAUAGUUUGAUGUGGUGUGAUGUUUAAAGUGCUCCUAAAAAAGGGACAUGAGAACAUACAACUGAUAUAGGAUAACACUUUUACAGAUAAAAUUAGACAAAUAAUUCAAGGAAAAUGAUAAGCAUAAAAUAGUGUGUGUGUGUUAAAUACGUAUAUGUUCUGGCCCCCCAGACAAUUUUGUUAACUCAAUGCGGCCCUCGAGUCCAAAUAUUUGCCCACCCCUGGCUUAGACCGUUGGUCGGCAAUGCAGCUCUUUAGCGCCGCCCUAGUGGCUACCUGUAGCUUUUUGAAAAAUGUUUGAAAAUGGAAAAAGAUGAGGGAGGGAAAUCUAUAUAUUUUUUAAAUAUGGUUUCUGUAGGAGGACAAACAUGACACAAACAUUCUUAACGUUUUCCAAUGCUGUAAAAAUGUGUAGAGUAAAUAUUGAAAUUCAACAUUUCUGUCAACGAAGAUUUACGUCAUAGCCUGCGACACACGUUUCUAUCAGCAGAGCGGGAUGCCAGGCAGGUGGAUGUUGUAAACAAACCGGCGGCUGUGUGAUGGGCCAUGGAUCCCAAAGGGAAAAAGAGAAAAAUAACUGAAGAGAACAGAGGAUUAAACGUUUUUGGACCGAAUCAUUUGCAUUCAUCUUACAUGCCCGAUGUUGAGAAGCUGACCAGAAGUCACAUUAAACGGGUGCAUUUAGCGACGAGGAUAUUGUCCAUUUCGGGUGGGGGUGGGUUUGUGGACCCCGUGAGGGACGGUGGCGAUCAUCCACGAGGAGCUGAGGCUGAAGGACGAGGAGACGAUUGAGGAGAAGACGGCUAUUAGAAGCUUCGACAAGAAACUCAAACCAGAAUAUGCUAUUACCAGACAAUUACGAAUGUGUGGACGCUCCCAACCCGGGAUAGCGCCGGCCAUCCCCUUCCGGGGACGGCGAUGGCCUGGAGAGCAUACUGCGAGACCCGAGUCAAGAGGAGGCGCACAAGAAACAGAGGAAGGAACUGAAGCUGCUCAGCUUCACUGACUUCAUUAUGGAAGUCAUGGAAUUCCAGGACUCUAAAAAGGAAAGCAGCAAGAACGCCAUCAAGGCAAAGGAGGAUGGGAACCGCAAUCGCCGAAGACGGUGACAUCACCUUCUUGAAAAUACGAGCUGACACGAGAGACCGUGCCAGUCGCAGGAUGAAAUCCCCUCGGCGGCGCAGCACGGGUUCACUAAACUCUUGACAGCUUUGCUAUUUAAGAUCAGGAUCAGCCCUCCACUCCAAAUUGCGAGGAGCGUAUUACUCUCCUGAUACUUCAUUAAUCUCCAUCACGGCUGCCAACACUGUCACAGCUGACAGCGGGGACAAUGCCACCUGCUCUU
This is a non-coding RNA of Doryrhamphus excisus (bluestripe pipefish), 5764 nucleotides long. Lineage: Eukaryota; Metazoa; Chordata; Actinopteri; Syngnathiformes; Syngnathidae. The record is from RefSeq and is a predicted model, not a curated record.